Molecule: ribosomal RNA, 445 nt
Filed under: Microbacterium paraoxydans
Lineage: Bacteria; Bacillati; Actinomycetota; Actinomycetes; Micrococcales; Microbacteriaceae
Description: bacterial SSU rRNA
Rfam family: Bacterial small subunit ribosomal RNA
Source: RNAcentral
GGCUCAGGAUGAACGCUGGCGGCGUGCUUAACACAUGCAAGUCGAACGGUGAAGCAGAGCUUGCUCUGUGGAUCAGUGGCGAACGGGUGAGUAACACGUGAGCAACCUGCCCCUGACUCUGGGAUAAGCGCUGGAAACGGCGUCUAAUACUGGAUAUGAGCUGCGACCGCAUGGUCAGCAGUUGGAAAGAUUUUUCGGUCUGGGAUGGGCUCACGGCCUAUCAGCUUGUUGGUGAGGUAAUGGCUCACCAAGGCGUCGACGGGUAGCCGGCCUGAGAGGGUGACCGGCCACACUGGGACUGAGACACGGCCCAGACUCCUACGGGAGGCAGCAGUGGGGAAUAUUGCACAAUGGGCGAAAGCCUGAUGCAGCAACGCCGCGUGAGGGAUGACGGCCUUCGGGUUGUAAACCUCUUUUAGCAGGGAAGAAGCGAAAGUGACGGUAC